Molecule: ribosomal RNA, 433 nt
Filed under: uncultured bacterium
Lineage: Bacteria
Description: partial 16S ribosomal RNA
Rfam family: Bacterial small subunit ribosomal RNA
Source: RNAcentral
AACGAACGCUGGCGGCAUGCCUAACACAUGCAAGUCGAACGAGACCUUCGGGUCUAGUGGCGCACGGGUGCGUAACGCGUGGGAACCUGCCCUUAGGUUCGGAAUAACUCCCCGAAAGGGGUGCUAAUACCGGACAAUGUCUUCGGACCAAAGAUUUAUCGCCUUUGGAUGGGCCCGCGUUGGAUUAGCUAGUUGGUAGGGUAAAAGCCUACCAAGGCGACGAUCCAUAGCUGGUCUGAGAGGAUGAUCAGCCACACUGGGACUGAGACACGGCCCAGACUCCUACGGGAGGCAGCAGUGGGGAAUAUUGGACAAUGGGCGAAAGCCUGAUCCAGCAAUGCCGCGUGAGUGAUGAAGGCCUGAGGGUUGUAAAGCUCUUUUACCCGGGAUGAUAAUGACAGUACCGGGAGAAUAAGCUCCGGCUAACUCCGUG